Molecule: ribosomal RNA, 467 nt
Filed under: uncultured bacterium
Lineage: Bacteria
Description: partial 16S ribosomal RNA
Rfam family: Bacterial small subunit ribosomal RNA
Source: RNAcentral
GACGAACGCUGGCGGCGUGCUUAACACAUGCAAGUCGAACGGAAAGGCCUCUUUCGGGGGGUACUCGAGUGGCGAACGGGUGAGUAACACGUGAGUAACCUGCCCUUGACUUUGGGAUAACUUCAGGAAACUGGGGCUAAUACCGGAUAGGAGCUCCUGCUGCAUGGUGGGGGUUGGAAAGUUUCGGCGGUUGGGGAUGGACUCGCGGCUUAUCAGCUUGUUGGUGGGGUAGUGGCUUACCAAGGCUUUGACGGGUAGCCGGCCUGAGAGGGUGACCGGCCACAUUGGGACUGAGAUACGGCCCAGACUCCUACGGGAGGCAGCAGUGGGGAAUAUUGCACAAUGGGUGGAAGCCUGAUGCAGCAACGCCGUGUGCGGGAUUACGGCCUUCGGGUUGUAAACCGCUUUCGCUCAUGACGAAGCUUUGUGUGACGGUAGUGGGUAAAGAAGCACCGGCUAACUACGUG